This 406-nucleotide ribosomal RNA is filed under the name uncultured bacterium. RNAcentral's name for it is "partial 16S ribosomal RNA". It matches the Rfam family "Bacterial small subunit ribosomal RNA", at positions 30 to 526 of the family's 1533-position model. The record is from RNAcentral.
AUUGAACGCUGGCGGCAGGCCUAACACAUGCAAGUCGAACGAGUGGCGGACGGGUGAGUCAUGUAUGGGAAACUGCCUGAUGGAGGGGGCUAACUACUGGCCACGGUAGCUAAUACCGCAUAACAUCAGAUGUUCCCAGAUGGGAUUAGCUAGUUGGUGGGGUAACGGCUCACCAAGGCGACGAUCCCUAACUGGUCUGAGAGGAUGACCAGCCACACUGGAACUUAGACACGGUCCAGACUCCUACGGGAGGCAGCAGGGGGGAAUAUUGCACAAUGGGCGCAAGCCUGAGGCAGCCAUGCCGCGUGUAGGAAGAAGGCCUUCGGGUUGUAAAGUACUUUCAGCGGGGAGGCGUUACCCGCAGAAGAAGCACCGGCUAACUCCGUGCCAGCAGCCGCGGUAAUUC